RNAcentral lists this long non-coding RNA (1110 nucleotides) under Sus scrofa (pig). RNAcentral's name for it is "lncRNA (ENSSSCG00015040948.1, ENSSSCG00050045950.1)". Lineage: Eukaryota; Metazoa; Chordata; Mammalia; Artiodactyla; Suidae. The record is from RNAcentral.
GCUAAUCUUGCUGGGGUCGGGGUGGGCUUAUGUAGGGAAUGGGUCCCCCCCUUAACACCAGCACCUUGCUUCGAAUCUCUGUGGACACAAGAUAAUGUUGCUACUAUCUUUCUCACACCUCUAAGAACAGCCCCUACCUCUGGCCUACUUUAUACCGACUUUAUUCUAAAGAAAACUCAGGAAGGUCCCGUGGUGAAGGAAAGGCCGGAUUGUGGGUUCUCUAAUUUUACUUCCCAGUUUUUCCACUACUUCUUGAUAAAGAGGCAGUUUAGGUUCUUGGAUUUGCAAAUCCAGUUUGGAGGCCGGUCUCCUUCCGUGAUCUACCUUCUGCCUGGGAAAUCUACGUUCAACCUCACCAAAGUGCACUCCGCAAAGGCAGCUCUCGAGCAGCCCCAAAUAAUUUCUGCGCCAAGAAAGUGGAUUCCCCAUCCCAAGGCCGGUAGUGGUCCUGCCUCUCCCCAAGGAGGGCUAACUGUGUGGUGCCUCGGGCAGGUGGACCGAAAGCGACAUCGAGCGGGUUUGGGGAGCCACGAGCAACAACUACCUUUCGCGCAGGCCAGCCUGCCUGCUGGUUUCGAUCCAAUCACCCUUGGCCUAUAUGUCGAAUCUCACGAGCGGCGACCAGAUUUGCCAUCAGUACCCGUUUUCACUAACAAAGAAAUUGGAAGAGGAAUUUCACCUUGAUGCCAUAAAUCAACAGCAUUCAGCGUUUGUCUUGCGGAAGCCCUUAUAGAGGCAGCACACUCCCCAAACUGCAAGAGUGGCAUCACCAAACUUUUUCCCUAGGAACUUUACUCAGUAUCUCAGCAUCAAGCCACCAAGCUUUGAACUGUGUCUGGGAGCAUCUGUGCUUUAUCUUGAUUUGUUUUGUGCAUCCGUUAGCAAGAUGUGUCCUAAGGUAAUUGCUUUUCCCUUUACACCAGUUCAGCUUACAACAUGUUUCAUGGGAAUGCUCUGCUGUCAGAAGUGGGAGGAAACCUGUAUUUAUAUACAUCUUGUAGUUAUCAUAGUACUCUAUUUAAUCCUCAUCACAACCCUACAAAGUAGGUAUUAUUAUCAUCACUCUCAUUUUUUUGGUAAAUAAAUUAUACUUUAAUUUUAAAAAUAACA